UACGUAGGGUGCGAGCGUUGUCCGGAAUUAUUGGGCGUAAAGGGCUCGUAGGCGGUCUGUUGCGUCAGGAGUGAAAACUCGGGGCUUAACCCCCGAGCCUGCUUCUGAUACGGGCAGACUAGAGGUAUGCAGGGGAGAACGGAAUUCCUGGUGUAGGCGGUGGGAAAUGCGCAGAUAUCAGGAGGAACACCGAUGGCGAAGGGCAGGUCUCCGUGGGCCAUUACUGACACUGAGAAGCGAAAGCAUGGGGAGCGAACAGG
Molecule: ribosomal RNA, 260 nt
Filed under: uncultured bacterium
Lineage: Bacteria
Description: partial 16S ribosomal RNA
Rfam family: Bacterial small subunit ribosomal RNA
Source: RNAcentral